UCGGGUAUGGUGUAACGGCUAACAUUGCCGCCUCUCAUCUUCCAGUGCGCGGCAGCUCGGGGUUCGAUUCCCCGUACCCGAA
Sphagnurus paluster is the source of this 82-nucleotide non-coding RNA. The record is from the annotation of a GenBank genome assembly. NCBI's taxonomy places the organism in Eukaryota, Fungi, Basidiomycota, Agaricomycetes, Agaricales, Lyophyllaceae.